Trifolium pratense (red clover) is the source of this 207-nucleotide long non-coding RNA. RefSeq lists it as uncharacterized. The record is from RefSeq and is a predicted model, not a curated record. The transcript is spliced from 3 exons. Lineage: Eukaryota; Viridiplantae; Streptophyta; Magnoliopsida; Fabales; Fabaceae.
UCGUGCAUUUGUGGUACGUCAAAGAUCUUGAUUCUUGAAAAUUAUCAUUUUCCAUUGAAAUGGAAAUGAUGUACAAGAAUGGUGAUCAUAUUCAAGUAUGGGUGAAAGGAAGCUAGCAUUUUAUUAUGGGAGAAACAUGUAAAAUAUCAGGGGCCAAAAGAUCCAAAAGAAGAUGAUAAGGAGAUCAAACAGUAAAGAGAAACUCCC